Panicum virgatum (switchgrass) is the source of this 1265-nucleotide long non-coding RNA. RefSeq lists it as uncharacterized. The record is from RefSeq and is a predicted model, not a curated record. Lineage: Eukaryota; Viridiplantae; Streptophyta; Magnoliopsida; Poales; Poaceae. The transcript has 2 exons.
UCUCCACUCCAGCAGAACUGAGUUGUUCACCCAAAAGCCUCUACUCCAGCAGGGCUGAGUAAACAGGCUUAUAUUUUUUAACCUGACAACUGGCCCCACCUGUCAUUCUCUUCCCCUCUCCUGCCCAUCCGAGCCGAGCGCGCGUGCCCUGCCCCCGCGCCGCCGAAGCGCACGCCACCGCCACCGUCCGGCGCCGCCGCCCGCUCGGCGUCCACCCGCCGCCUCGACCCCGCACGGCCCGCCUCCCCUGCUGGCGCCACCUCUCCUGCCCGGCGCCACCUCCCUACCUUCCCCGGCCGCCACCACCUACCUCCUCCGCCGUUUCCAGCCGCCGGCGCCGACCCGCCCCACGGACGCCUCCCCGCCGGGCGUCCUCCGCAAGGUCCGUUCUUAAGCAGUGGUACCGUAGCGUUCGCGUAGGAGGCUGCGCCCUCUGUCCGUCCUCCCCGCCGAAGCUGUCCUGGGUCCAUCCGGUUGGUGGCUGGACUCAAGGGUACAAGGGACUCUGAGUGAUGCUAACAGGUUGUUAUAUUAUCCUACUUGCAAUCUGAAUAUAGCUGAUCUUUAAAUCAUAUACUGUAAAAGUUUCAGGGAAGUCAAACAUCUAGAAGCCAAAGAUGUACGAGUAAUCCUGAAUAUUGCUAACUGUUGUAAGCAGGUCACUACAUUUGCUUGUUCGUUAGCAAAGCAUAGGAAGUCAAACACCCUAGAAGCCAAAGAUGUACUCUCUCAUGCAGGUGAUCCCAUUUUGUUUUAUGUACUCCCUCAUGCAGGUGAUCCCAUUUUGUUUUAUCUUCUAGACUAUAUGUGAUGUCCUUUCGGGUAACAUUUUAAAUGUCGUUCUGCAUAACUUAAGAGUUCUCCAUUGCAGAAAGAAGCUGGAAUAUCACCUUGCCAGGCCUCAGCGGGGAUGAAAUCAAGAAAUUUUGGUUUGGUUUUCUGUCAUUCUGCAUGAUCAUGAGCAGAAAUUUUGCAGAUCAAGAAUGCUGUCAUUGCAACCAAGAAAGAUCGUGGUUCCAGGUGGUUAAAAUAGAUAGGAAUAGAUAACCUGGGUGUUCCCAGAAUUCAGUGUAUGUAACCUGGGGUCUUUUUUACCUCAUCUGGGUGACAAUAGGCACCACCAAUCUUCUUGUGUUGUACUCUCAGCUUUUGAGAAUGUAACCUGAGGUCUUUUUGACCUCAUCACUGUACACUGUUCUUGAUCUGUAUAGUAUAUAUGGAUUUAUUAUCAAAAAUGAAAAACUCCCUACAUGUCAUCAGUGGAA